Molecule: ribosomal RNA, 253 nt
Filed under: uncultured bacterium
Lineage: Bacteria
Description: partial 16S ribosomal RNA
Rfam family: Bacterial small subunit ribosomal RNA
Source: RNAcentral
UACGAAGGGAGCAAGCGUUGUUCGGAAUGACUGGGCGUAAAGGGCGCGUGGGCGGUUUUAUAAGUCAGGUGUGAAAGCCCCGAGCUUAACUUGGGAUGUGCAUUUGAGACUGUAGGACUAGAGAUUGAGAGAGGAAAAAGGAAUUGCGAGUGUAGAGGUGAAAUUCGUAGAUAUUCGCAAGAACACCGAUGGCGAAGGCAUUUUUCUGGCUCAACACUGACGCUGAGGCGCGAAAGCGUGGGGAGCAAACAGG